UACGGGGGGGGCAAGCGUUGUUCGGAAUUACUGGGCGUAAAGGGCUUGUAGGUGGCCAACUAAGUCAGACGUGAAAUCCCUCGGCUUAACCGGGGAACUGCGUCUGAUACUGGAUGGCUUGAGUGUGGGAGAGGGAUGCGGAAUUCCAGGUGUAGCGGUGAAAUGCGUAGAUAUCGGCAGGAACACCCAGGGGGAAACCAGCGGACUGGGCAUGCGCUGACGCUCAGGUGCGACAGCGUGGGGAGCGAACCGG
RNAcentral lists this ribosomal RNA (253 nucleotides) under uncultured bacterium. RNAcentral's name for it is "partial 16S ribosomal RNA". It matches the Rfam family "Bacterial small subunit ribosomal RNA", at positions 524 to 776 of the family's 1533-position model. The record is from RNAcentral.